AGCCCUAUUCAAUUUGUGAAAUUUUGCUCUCAUAUUUUAAUUGCCAUUUUGCAAAAAAAGUGCCUGCGAAGGGAUUUUCCCUUUUGUUCAAUAUCUCCAGUUUCGACCUUCACUCAAUUCGAUGAAUCGGCUGGAGACGAACAGUGCUGUUAUAUGGUAAAUUCACUUUCAACGAAUUUGAUUACAUCUCUAUUGUUCUCUGCUGGAUAAGCACAGUCUUCUGCUAAGAUUGUUAGAGUUGAAAAUGUUAACGCAGAAGCAAGUGAACUUGAAAAUGUCGGUGUAGAUUCCCUGCUUAAGCAUGAUGCUAUGAUUGGUUCUGCUAAUGUGCGGUUUGCUAAGGAGGCCGAACUUGAUGUUCAACCACGUUUACCAAACGAACCUGAUGCUCAACUCGACAACAUAGUUCAUUGUACACCUGUUCAAAAGUCCAAGGGAAAGGCUACGAUUGAGGGGAAAUGAUCAAUAAAAAGAACUAUGCCGAUGAGCAAGUCACAGAGGGUCAAGAAUCAAUCAGUUGAGAAUAAUACUGGAUCGAACGAUGGAGAUAAUGAGAACGAACGGACAACGAAUUGGAUUACACCUCUUGUGAUAUCUGCUGGAGACGAGCACUCUUCUUAUAUGGACAACAUUACUACUGAUGCUGACUUAUGUAAGCUGCCAGAGGAUGGUCUUGAUCUUGUAGCCUCUUCACCUCAACUAAGUAAUUAAAGCAUACCUCAUUUUUUUACAUUUUUGCAAAGAAUAUAUUAACUGUAUGAUUAUAUACAAAGAACCUUAAAAUGUGUGUGA
Molecule: long non-coding RNA, 792 nt
Organism: Salvia miltiorrhiza (redroot sage)
Lineage: Eukaryota; Viridiplantae; Streptophyta; Magnoliopsida; Lamiales; Lamiaceae
Exons: 6
Source: RefSeq, a predicted model, not a curated record